Molecule: ribosomal RNA, 587 nt
Filed under: uncultured Thiobacillus sp.
Lineage: Bacteria; Pseudomonadati; Pseudomonadota; Betaproteobacteria; Nitrosomonadales; Thiobacillaceae
Description: bacterial SSU rRNA
Rfam family: Bacterial small subunit ribosomal RNA
Source: RNAcentral
CCUACGGGAGGCAGCAGUGGGGAAUUUUGGACAAUGGGCGCAAGCCUGAUCCAGCCAUGCCGCGUGAGUGAAGAAGGCCUUCGGGUUGUAAAGCUCUUUCGGCCGGGAAGAAAUCGCAUGGGUUAAUACCCUGUGUGGAUGACGGUACCGGAAUAAGAAGCACCGGCUAACUACGUGCCAGCAGCCGCGGUAAUACGUAGGGUGCGAGCGUUAAUCGGAAUUACUGGGCGUAAAGCGUGCGCAGGCGGUUUUGUAAGACAGGCGUGAAAUCCCCGGGCUUAACCUGGGAACUGCGUUUGUGACUGCAAGACUAGAGUACGGCAGAGGGGGGUGGAAUUCCACGUGUAGCAGUGAAAUGCGUAGAGAUGUGGAGGAACACCAAUGGCGAAGGCAGCCCCCUGGGUCGAUACUGACGCUCAUGCACGAAAGCGUGGGUAGCAAACAGGAUUAGAUACCCUGGUAGUCCACGCCCUAAACUAUGUCAACUAGGUGUUGGGUGGGUAAAACCAUUUAGUACCGUAGCUAACGCGUGAAGUUGACCGCCUGGGGAGUACGGCCGCAAGGUUAAAACUCAAAGGAAUUGACGG